Molecule: ribosomal RNA, 2879 nt
Filed under: Cupriavidus taiwanensis
Lineage: Bacteria; Pseudomonadati; Pseudomonadota; Betaproteobacteria; Burkholderiales; Burkholderiaceae
Description: bacterial LSU rRNA
Rfam family: Bacterial large subunit ribosomal RNA
Source: RNAcentral
UCAAGCGAACAAGUGCAUGUGGUGGAUGCCUUGGCGAUCACAGGCGAUGAAGGACGCGGUAGCCUGCGAAAAGCUUCGGGGAGCUGGCAAACAAGCUUUGAUCCGGAGAUGUCCGAAUGGGGAAACCCGGCCCGUAUGGGUCAUCCCACACUGAAUCCAUAGGUGUGGGAAGCGAACGCGGCGAACUGAAACAUCUAAGUAGCUGCAGGAACAGAAAUCAACCGAGAUUCCCAAAGUAGUGGCGAACGAAAUGGGAAGAGCCUUGUACUCUUUAGCAGUGGUGUUAGCAGAACGGGAUGGAAAGCCCGGCCAUAGCAGGUGAUAGCCCUGUAUGCGAAAACACGAUUGUGGAACUAGGUGUACGACAAGUAGGGCGGGACACGUGAAAUCCUGUCUGAAGAUGGGGGGACCAUCCUCCAAGGCUAAAUACUCGUGAUCGACCGAUAGUGAACCAGUACCGUGAGGGAAAGGCGAAAAGAACCCCGGGAGGGGAGUGAAAUAGAUCCUGAAACCGCAUGCAUACAAACAGUCGGAGCCCUUUCGGGGGUGACGGCGUACCUUUUGUAUAAUGGGUCAGCGACUUACAUUCAGUGGCAAGCUUAACCGAUUAGGGCAGGCGUAGCGAAAGCGAGUCCGAACAGGGCGUUGAGUCGCUGGGUGUAGACCCGAAACCAGAUGAUCUAUCCAUGGCCAGGUUGAAGGUGCGGUAACACGUACUGGAGGACCGAACCCACUAACGUUGAAAAGUUAGGGGAUGAGCUGUGGAUAGGGGUGAAAGGCUAAACAAAUCUGGAAAUAGCUGGUUCUCUCCGAAAACUAUUUAGGUAGUGCCUCGUGUCUCACCUUCGGGGGUAGAGCACUGUCAUGGUUGGGGGGUCUAUUGCUGAUUACCCCGCCAUAGCAAACUCCGAAUACCGAAGAGUGCAAUCACGGGAGACAGACAUCGGGUGCUAACGUCCGGUGUCAAGAGGGAAACAACCCAGACCGCCAGCUAAGGUCCCCAAAUAUAGCUAAGUGGGAAACGAAGUGGGAAGGCUAAAACAGUCAGGAGGUUGGCUUAGAAGCAGCCACCCUUUAAAGAAAGCGUAAUAGCUCACUGAUCGAGUCGUCCUGCGCGGAAGAUGUAACGGGGCUAAGCUAUAUACCGAAGCUGCGGACGCGACGCAAGUCGCGUGGUAGGAGAGCGUUCUGUAAGCCUGUGAAGGUGUCUUGUAAAGGAUGCUGGAGGUAUCAGAAGUGCGAAUGCUGACAUGAGUAGCGAUAAAGGGGGUGAAAGGCCCCCUCGCCGUAAGCCCAAGGUUUCCUACGCAACGUUCAUCGGCGUAGGGUGAGUCGGCCCCUAAGGCGAGGCAGAGAUGCGUAGCUGAUGGGAAGCAGGUUAAUAUUCCUGCACCGUCGUAUGAUGCGAUGGGGGGACGGAUCGCGGAAGGUUGUCCGGGUGUUGGAAGUCCCGGUCCCUGCAUUGGAGAAGGCGCUCAGGCAAAUCCGGGCGCGGGAUUCAAGGAUGUGGGGCGAGCGGCCUAGUGCUGCGAAGCAAUUGGAAGUGGUUCCAAGAAAAGCCUCUAAGCUUCAGUCAUACGAGACCGUACCGCAAACCGACACAGGUGGGCGAGAUGAGUAUUCUAAGGCGCUUGAGAGAACUCGGGAGAAGGAACUCGGCAAAUUGGUACCGUAACUUCGGGAUAAGGUACGCCCUGGUAGCUUGACUGGCCUGCGCCAGAAGGGUGAAGGGGUUGCAAUAAAAUGGUGGCUGCGACUGUUUAAUAAAAACACAGCACUCUGCAAACACGAAAGUGGACGUAUAGGGUGUGACGCCUGCCCGGUGCCGGAAGAUUAAAUGAUGGGGUGCAAGCUCUUGAUUGAAGUCCCGGUAAACGGCGGCCGUAACUAUAACGGUCCUAAGGUAGCGAAAUUCCUUGUCGGGUAAGUUCCGACCUGCACGAAUGGCGUAACGAUGGCCACACUGUCUCCUCCCGAGACUCAGCGAAGUUGAAGUGUUUGUGAUGAUGCAAUCUCCCCGCGGCUAGACGGAAAGACCCCAUGAACCUUUACUGUAGCUUUGCAUUGGACUUUGAACCGAUCUGUGUAGGAUAGGUGGGAGGCUUUGAAGCGUGGACGCCAGUUCACGUGGAGCCGUCCUUGAAAUACCACCCUGGUUUGUUUGAGGUUCUAACCUUGGCCCGUGAAUCCGGGUCGGGGACAGUGCAUGGUAGGCAGUUUGACUGGGGCGGUCUCCUCCCAAAGUGUAACGGAGGAGUUCGAAGGUACGCUUGGUACGGUCGGACAUCGUACCUAAAGUGCAAUGGCAAAAGCGUGCUUAACUGCGAGACCGACAAGUCGAGCAGGUGCGAAAGCAGGACAUAGUGAUCCGGUGGUUCUGAAUGGAAGGGCCAUCGCUCAACGGAUAAAAGGUACUCUGGGGAUAACAGGCUGAUACCGCCCAAGAGUUCAUAUCGACGGCGGUGUUUGGCACCUCGAUGUCGGCUCAUCUCAUCCUGGGGCUGUAGCCGGUCCCAAGGGUAUGGCUGUUCGCCAUUUAAAGAGGUACGUGAGCUGGGUUUAAAACGUCGUGAGACAGUUUGGUCCCUAUCUGCCGUGGGCGUUGGAAUCUUGACGGGGGCUGCUCCUAGUACGAGAGGACCGGAGUGGACGUACCGCUGGUGUACCUGUUGUCUCGCCAGAGGCAUCGCAGGGUAGCUAUGUACGGAAGAGAUAACCGCUGAAAGCAUCUAAGCGGGAAACUCGCCUGAAGAUGAGGAUUCCCUGGAGGCUUGACCUCCUUGAAGGGUCGUUCGAGACCAGGACGUUGAUAGGCUGGGUGUGGAAGCGCAGUAAUGCGUUAAGCUAACCAGUACUAAUUGCCCGUAAGGCUUGAUCCU